Molecule: ribosomal RNA, 440 nt
Filed under: uncultured bacterium
Lineage: Bacteria
Description: partial 16S ribosomal RNA
Rfam family: Bacterial small subunit ribosomal RNA
Source: RNAcentral
CCUACGGGUGGCUGCAGUGGGGAAUAUUGCACAAUGGGGGAAACCCUGAUGCAGCGACGCCGCGUGAAGGAAGAAGUCUUUCUGUAUGUAAACUUCUAUCAGCAGGGAAGAAAAUGCCGGUACCUGACUCAGCAGCCCCGGCUCACUCCGUUCCAGCAGCCGCCGUAAUACGUCGGGGGCAAGCGUUCUCCGGAUUUACUGGGGGGAAAGGGAGCGUAGGCGGUUUAGCAAGUCAGAAGUGAAAGCCCGGGGCUCAACUCGGGGAGUGCUUUUGAAACUGGUGAACUAGAUUGCAGGAGAGGUAAGUGGAAUUCCUAGUGUAGCGGUGAAAUGCGUAGAGAUUAGGAGGAACACCAGUGGCGAAGGCGGCUUACUGGACUGUAAAUGACGCUGAGGCUCGAAAGCGUGGGGAGCAAACAGGAUUAGAUACCCUUGUAGUC